GAUGAACGCUGGCGGCGUGCCUAAUACAUGCAAGUCGAGCGAAUGGAUUAAGAGCUUGCUCUUAUGAAGUUAGCGGCGGACGGGUGAGUAACACGUGGGUAACCUGCCCAUAAGACUGGGAUAACUCCGGGAAACCGGGGCUAAUACCGGAUAACAUUUUGAACCGCAUGGUUCGAAAUUGAAAGGCGGCUUCGGCUGUCACUUAUGGAUGGACCCGCGUCGCAUUAGCUAGUUGGUGAGGUAACGGCUCACCAAGGCAAAGAUGCGUAGCCCACCUGGGUGGGUGAUAGGCCAGACUGGGACUGAGACACAGCGCAGACGACUACGGGAGGCAGCAGUAGGGAAUCGUCCGCAAUGGACGAAAGUCUGACGGAGCAACGCCGCGUGAGUGAUGAAGGCGUUCGGGUCGUAAAACUCUGUUGUUAGGGAAGAACAAGUGCUAGUUGAAUAAGCUGGCACCUUGACGGUACCUAACCAGAAAGCCACGGCUAACUACGUGCCAGCCGCCGCAGUAA
This 515-nucleotide ribosomal RNA is filed under the name uncultured bacterium. RNAcentral's name for it is "partial 16S ribosomal RNA". It matches the Rfam family "Bacterial small subunit ribosomal RNA", at positions 28 to 523 of the family's 1533-position model. The record is from RNAcentral.